CCUACGGGAGGCAGCAGUGAGGAAUAUUGGUCAAUGGACGAGAGUCUGAACCAGCCAAGUAGCGUGAAGGAUGACUGCCCUAUGGGUUGUAAACUUCUUUUAUAUGGGAAUAAAAUGUUCCACGUGUGGGAUUUUGUAUGUACCAUAUGAAUAAGGAUCGGCUAACUCCGUGCCAGCAGCCGCGGUAAUACGGAGGAUCCGAGCGUUAUCCGGAUUUAUUGGGGUUAAAGGGAGCGUAGGUGGAUUGUUAAGUCAGUUGUGAAAGUUUGCGGUUCAACCGUAAAAUUGCAGUUGAAACUGGCAGUCUUGAGUACAGUAGAGGUGGGCGGAAUUCGUGGUGUAGCGGUGAAAUGCUUAGAUAUCACGAAGAACUCCGAUUGCGAAGGCAGUUCACUGGACUGCAACUGACACUGAGGCUCGAAAGUGUGGGUAUCAAACAGGAUUAGAUACCCGUGUAGUC
RNAcentral lists this ribosomal RNA (460 nucleotides) under uncultured bacterium. RNAcentral describes it as "partial 16S ribosomal RNA". It matches the Rfam family "Bacterial small subunit ribosomal RNA", at positions 338 to 795 of the family's 1533-position model. The record is from RNAcentral.